AUGGUAACAAAAUUGUUAUAUCUCUCUCUCUCAAGGAUAACAGAACAUGGAUGCUCUCUCUCUCUCAACAAACUCUCUUUCCUCUCGUCUUCACCAAUAACAGAAGGAGCUCUCAACAAUGCUCUGUCAUGGGAUGGUCCUCUCAAAAUUUUGAGACUCUCUUUUGGAUUGCUUCGUGAAGUGUAUCGCAGCAGCUUCGAAGCUUCCGUCUUCUUCUUUGAUUUGUAUCGAGUAAACCAAAUAUCACAACAAGAUUCAAGGAUUCUGAGGCUAUCAGUUGUCAUCGUCAAGAUCAUAGGAUUGCGACUGUAG
This is a non-coding RNA of Vicia faba (fava bean), 312 nucleotides long. The record is from the annotation of a GenBank genome assembly. Lineage: Eukaryota; Viridiplantae; Streptophyta; Magnoliopsida; Fabales; Fabaceae.